This 228-nucleotide ribosomal RNA is filed under the name Triticum aestivum (bread wheat). RNAcentral describes it as "partial small subunit ribosomal RNA". Lineage: Eukaryota; Viridiplantae; Streptophyta; Magnoliopsida; Poales; Poaceae. The record is from RNAcentral.
AUGAUACCACCACCUAUCAGGCCAGACGAGCGGUCCACGGAGAUGCAUCCCUACUCACCCGGUCUAUGCACAUCGCUCUUUCCAGGAGGUUGGCUACCUAUCCUAGAUCUUCCCAUUUCCAAGAAGAUCCCUUGUUCGAUCUGGUUUAGUAUCAAGGUUCUUCUUUUUCUAUUUCUAUAUAUAUAUGGUUCCGUGCAGCAUUCCCACGAUAUCGUUAUGAUCAAUUAA